RNAcentral lists this ribosomal RNA (256 nucleotides) under uncultured bacterium. RNAcentral describes it as "partial 16S ribosomal RNA". It matches the Rfam family "Bacterial small subunit ribosomal RNA", at positions 524 to 777 of the family's 1533-position model. The record is from RNAcentral.
UACGUAGGGGGCAAGCGUUGUUCGGAAUUACUGGGCGUAAAGGGCGCGUAGGCGGCACAGCAAGUCGGGAGUGAAAGCCCGGGGCUCAACCCCGGAAUGGCUUUCGAAACUGCUGAGCUAGAGUACAGAAGGGGCAACCGGAAUUCCCAGUGGUAGCGGUGAAAUGCGUAGAUAUUGGGAAGAACGACCUGAGGCGAAGGCGGGUUGCUGGGCUGAUACUGACGCUGAGGAGCGAAAGCCAGGGGAGCAAACGGGG